UACAUGGGGUGCAACCGUUGCUCGGAAUUAUUGGGCGUAAAGCGCACGUAGGCGGUUUGUUAAGUCGGAUGUGAAAUCCCUCGGCUCAACUGAGGAAGUGCAUCCGAAACUGGCAAGCUUGAGUACGAAAGAGGGUCGCGGAAUUCCCGGUGUAGAGGUGAAAUUCGUAGAUAUCAAGCGGAACACCGGUGGCGAAGGCGGCCUUCUGGACAGUGACUGACGCUGAGACGCGAAAGCGUGGGGAGCAAACAGG
This 253-nucleotide ribosomal RNA is filed under the name uncultured bacterium. RNAcentral describes it as "partial 16S ribosomal RNA". It matches the Rfam family "Bacterial small subunit ribosomal RNA", at positions 524 to 776 of the family's 1533-position model. The record is from RNAcentral.